UUUCCGUAGGUGAACCUGCGGAAGGAUCAUUAACGAGUUAGGGUCUUCCAGGCCCGACCUCCCAACCCUAUGUUUAUUGAACCUCUGUUGCUUCGGCGGACCCGCCUCACGGCCGCCGGAGGACCGCUGCAAGGCGUCCUCUGGCCAGCGUCUGCCGAUGGCCAACCACUUAAACUCUGAAUGAAUCGUGUCAUAUGUCUAAGUCUAUGAUUAAAUUAAAGCAAAACUUUCAACAACGGAUCUCUUGGUUCUG
Molecule: unclassified non-coding RNA, 253 nt
Filed under: plant metagenome
Description: partial contains small subunit ribosomal RNA, internal transcribed spacer 1, and 5.8S ribosomal RNA
Source: RNAcentral